This 3211-nucleotide long non-coding RNA is filed under the name Oryzias javanicus (javanese ricefish). RNAcentral's name for it is "lncRNA (ENSOJAG00000012690.1)". Lineage: Eukaryota; Metazoa; Chordata; Actinopteri; Beloniformes; Adrianichthyidae. The record is from RNAcentral.
AUGGCUUCCCCAGACGAGGCUGCUGAGGGUGUGACAGAAGAGGUGGAGGAAGUUCCUGAAGAGGUGGAGGAAGUUCCUGAAGAGGUGGAGGAAGUUCCUGAAGAGGUGGAGGAAGUUCCUGAAGAGGUGGAGGAAGUUCCUGAGGAAGUGGAGGAAAUUCCUAAAGAGGUGGAGGAAGUUCCUGAGGAAGUGGAGGAAGUUCCUGAAGAAGUGGAGGAAGUUCCUGAGGAAGUGGAGGAAGUUCCUGAAGAGGUGGAGGAAGUUCCUGAGGAAGUGGAGGAAGUUCCUGAAGAGGUGGAGGAAGUUCCUGAGGAAGUGGAGGAAGUUCCUGAAGAAGUGGAGGAAGUUCCUGAAGAAGUGGAGGAUGUUCCUGAGGAGGCGGUAGUUGAUCCUGCAGAAGAUGUACCUCUUCCAGAUGAGACCGCUGAAGGUGAGGGGGAGGACACAGCUCCACCAGCGGAAGCCGGGGUAAAUGCAGCACCCUCUGAUGAACCUUCAGAGGAGCCUGCUGGAGAAGCAGUUGAAAAUGAGCAUCUAGAAGAGGAGGAAGCUGUUCCAGCAGAAGCUAGUGAAGUAAUGGAGGAAGAAGAGUCAGCUCCAGAAAAAGAGGAGAUUACUUCUCCAGAAGAGGCUGCCGAUGACGCCGCAGAAGAGGAGGAGACAGUUUCAGAAACGGUUGCUUUAGAGGAAACCUUUGAAGAAGAAACGCCCACAGAUGAGGAAGUGGAGGAAGCAGAAGACCCAGCAGCAACACUUUCGGAGGAAGACUCUGAGAAUCGUGCAGAAGAAUCAGAGGCCAUUGAGACUGAGGCAAAGGUUGAGGACAAACCCACAGAAACGUAGAGGCAGGAGGGGGUGCUGUGCUGGGGGACCCGUGACCCGCUCAUCGGCACCAAACACAAACGCUCACAAUCAUGAUGCACCUUCACAUCAAGAAAGACAAAGGCGUCAUGGCAACACCACCUCUCCUCUGUUUUUGAAGCCUGUGUGAAAGUUUUUUCUUUAAGUCAAGCUGUGAGAAAGUAGCUGUUUACUGUUGGGGUACUUUUGUUUUGGUGUCUUUCCUGAAGUGGUACUUCCUGUUUCCAUCUCUUUAUUCACAGGGCAGUUCUUAUUUUUAUGUCUCUCUGAAGAAAUAUUUUUCUUUAUCAUGAUUUUUCUUUAAGAAGUACUUCCUUUUUUCCCUUAGAGGUUCUUCCUUUUCCAUGUCUUUGCUGAACAAGCACUUCCUGUUUUCAUGACUAUCUUGAAGGAGAAUUUCCUGCCUCCACAUCUUUUCCUGAAAAAAUACUUCCAGUUCCCAUGCUUUCUUUAAGAAGUACUUUCUGUUUCCAUGCUUUCCUGAAGUACUUUCAUGAGCUCUCAUGAGUUUUCCCAUGUUUUUCCGAUUGGAGUACUUUCUGUUUUUAUGUCUUUUUUGAACAAAUACUUCCACUUUCCAGUUUUUCUGAAUGUGUACUCGCUGUUUACUUGUAUUGAUGAUCAGAGUACUUCCUUGUCCCCUGAUUUCCUGAAGAAUUUCUUCCUGUUUCCAUCAUUCUCAAAGGAGUAUUUUCUGUCUCCACAUUUUUACAUAAGUACUUACUUUUUCCAAGAUUUUCCAUAAGUAGUACUUCCUGUUUCCAUCUUUCUUGAAGGAGUACUUCCUGUCUCCACUUUUUUCCACUAGAAGUACUUCCUGAUUCGAUGUCUUUUUGAAAGAGUACUUCCUGUCUCCUGUCCUUCUUUGUGAAAUCAUUUAUCCGCAGGACUUUCAGCAUCAAAGUGACAUAUUUGGACUUUAUGGAGCGAUGUUGUUGGGUGCAUCAAAAGGGGUUGAAGCUGGGGAGGGCAGCAGGACCCCCCCCUGCGGCUCCUACAAGCAAACACUUUUCAGAUGCUGAACUUUGUUCGAUUAUGUGAAUUCUAUGCAAUUGUGUUGACCCCCCCCCAGCUCUGUUACCACACAGUGUAUGUUUUUGCCCCUCUGGACCUGAACGUUUGGUCAUCCUUUAAAACACUAACUUCGUCGUGUUUGUUUUUAUCAGUUUGGUGUGUUUAGUAGGUUUCUUUGGUGAAUGACGGAGAUGCUCCUCCCUCUUUGAGGAGCAGCAGCAUCACCUCCUCCUCUGCAGUGAGGGGUUAGCUGAGCAUCAGCUCUGGUCCUUUAACCUGUGUGUGUUUUCAGUCUCCAGUGUCGCUGUGAGGUGAUGAGGCAUGAAUCUGUCAGAAGACUCAGACCUGUAAAGGUUCUGAAGGUUCUUGUGGGUUUUAUCCCUGCUGACUGCAGCAGAAACACAAAGAUCCGCUCUGACUUCUGUACUUGAAAAGAUUUGCAGAAAAAUGUAGGAAAGCAUCACUAAGGUAGAGAGCAGCAUUCUCGUUCACAGAAGUGCACGUGUGCUAGUGUGUCUCCUCAUUCUGGGACCGUCAUGUUUGGUCAAAUGAACCAUUCCCUUUUUGAACCGUGUUUUCUAGAAAAUAACUAGCUGGUCUUUUCUACUUCCUGGUUAACCUACAAACCUUUUUAAACACUGAAGAUGAAGAACGUGACCAAGAGAGCUUCUAGAUUUUAAGAACUGUUUCCAAAUAGAAAUUUUUCUGAUACUUGCUAUAAAAAAAAAUCAGAUUUAUUUUUGUUUUUGUAGAAAAGUGUUUGGGAGUAUUCUCACUAAGCCAUAAGCUGUUGGAUGGUUUAAGGAAACGUGCUGCUUCAGACUUUUUUUCAGUGAAAACACAAUGAAACAAAAGCAGCACCACUGCCUGACUGCAGAGGGCGAUGUUCCCCUGCAGACGAGCUGACCGGAGCCUGGCCCCUUAAAUUACUUCAUGUGAUGAAUUGUUUUUGAGGCUGUAAAACAUCUGAGAGCUGCAAUAAAGAGUCUGGGAGAACGCAGUUUUGAAUCCUGCUCUUUAUUUAAAGCCGCUUUUUUCCCAUGAAUGCAGCUGUCGGACCAUCGAUCCCACCAGAACCAACAGAACUCUGAUUUACAGUUCAUCAGACAAACAUGACCCUAAUGAAACCUGCUCUGAAAGGUUAGUAAGCUUUUGAAAAACUGUCAAAUAAUCUAUGUUGAAAAGAAGCAUCUUGUUGUCAAAAAAACAACCAAACCAAAAUGAAUAAACUGAACCCACUUCAAUAAAUUCUAAAAAUUAUAUCAACCUGUCCAAGAAAAGUCACGUAAAAUUCUCUUUCUCUCGCUGAAUAAAACAACCUUCAAAAACAGACGGA